This 119-nucleotide ribosomal RNA is filed under the name Eptatretus burgeri (inshore hagfish). The record is from RNAcentral. Lineage: Eukaryota; Metazoa; Chordata; Myxini; Myxiniformes; Myxinidae.
GCCUACGAUCAUACCACCAUGAAUACGCCUGAUCUCGUCCGAUCUUGGACGCUUCGCAUGUUCGGGCCUGGUUAGUACCUCGAUGGGAGACCGCCUGGGAACAUCGGGUGUUGUAGGCU